GACGAACGCUGGCGGCGUGCUUAACACAUGCAAGUCGAGCGAUGAAGUUCCUUCGGGAAUGGAUUAGCGGCGGACGGGUGAGUAACACGUGGGUAACCUGCCUCAUAGAGGGGAAUAGCCUUUCGAAAGGAAGAUUAAUACCGCAUAAGAUUGUAGUAUCGCAUGAUACAGCAAUUAAAGGAGUAAUCCGCUAUGAGAUGGACCCGCGUCGCAUUAGCUAGUUGGUGAGGUAACGGCUCACCAAGGCGACGAUGCGUAGCCGACCUGAGAGGGUGAUCGGGCACAUUGGGCCUGAGACACGGCCCAGACUCCUACGGGAGGCAGCAGUGGGGAAUAUUGCACAAUGGGGGAAACCCUGAUGCAGCAACGCCGCGUGAGUGAUGACGGUCUUCGGAUUGUAAAACUCUGUCUUCAGGGACGAUAAUGACGGUACCUGAGGAGGAAGCCACGGCUAACUACGUGCCAGCCGCCGCAGUAA
This 478-nucleotide ribosomal RNA is filed under the name uncultured bacterium. RNAcentral describes it as "partial 16S ribosomal RNA". It matches the Rfam family "Bacterial small subunit ribosomal RNA", at positions 28 to 523 of the family's 1533-position model. The record is from RNAcentral.